CAGUCGAGCGAGAAGACGUGGCAAUACGUUUGUAAAGCGGCGAACGGGUGAGGAAUACAUGGGUAACCUACCCUCGAGUGGGGAAUAACUAGCCGAAAGGUUAGCUAAUACCGCAUACGACUCUCGGUCUGCGGAUCGAGAGGGAAAGCGAUACCGUGGGUAUCGCGCUCAUGGAUGGGCUCAUGUCCUAUCAGCUUGUUGGUGAGGUAACGGCUCACCAAGGCUUCGACGGGUAGCUGGUCUGAGAGGACGAUCAGCCACACUGGCACUGCGACACGGGCCAGACUCCUACGGGAGGCAGCAGUAAGGAAUAUUGCGCAAUGGGCGACAGCCUGACGCAGCGACGCCGCGUGGGGGAUGAAGGUCUUCGGAUUGUAAACCCCUUUCGGCAGGGAAGAUGGAACGGGUAACCGUUCGGACGGUACCUGCAGAAGCAGCCACGGCUAACUUCGUGCCAGCAGCCGCGGUAAUACGAAGGUGGCAAGCGUUGUUCGGAUUUACUGGGCGUACAGGGAGCGUAGGCGGUUGGGUAAGCCUUUCGUGAAAUCUCCGGGCCUAACCCGGAAAGUGCGGAGGGGACUGCUCGGCUAGAGGAUGGGAGAGGAGCGCGGAAUUCCCGGUGUAGCGGUGAAAUGCGUAGAGAUCGGGAGGAAGGCCGGUGGCGAAGGCGGCGCUCUGGAACAUAUCUGACGCUGAGGCU
Molecule: ribosomal RNA, 700 nt
Filed under: uncultured Nitrospira sp.
Lineage: Bacteria; Pseudomonadati; Nitrospirota; Nitrospiria; Nitrospirales; Nitrospiraceae
Description: bacterial SSU rRNA
Rfam family: Bacterial small subunit ribosomal RNA
Source: RNAcentral